This 500-nucleotide ribosomal RNA is filed under the name uncultured Myrionecta. Its description in RNAcentral is "SSU rRNA". It matches the Rfam family "Eukaryotic small subunit ribosomal RNA", at positions 33 to 595 of the family's 1831-position model. The record is from RNAcentral. Lineage: Eukaryota; Ciliophora; Litostomatea; Cyclotrichida; Mesodiniidae.
AAAUGUUCCCAAGAUAGCCAUGCACGUCUAAGUACAAACUAAAUGAUGGUGAAACUGCAAAUGGCUCAUUACAACGGUUAUGAUGUACCCGGGAGUUCCGAUGGAUAUUUCCAGUAACACUAGAACUAAUACAUGUCCCUGCGUUUAUUAGUUUCGCACAGUCCGUCGCUGAGUCAUGGUAAACAGUUGAUCGACUCGACGUCCCGGAACAGUUUCCGCCCCAUCAGCUUCGAUGGUUGGGUAUUGGCCUACCAUUGCAACAACGGGUAACGAGGAAUUAGGGUUUGAUUUCGGAGAGGGAGCCUGAGAAACGGCUACCACAUCUACGGAUGGCAGCAGGCGCGCAAAUUACCCAAUGCAGACACUGUGAGGUAGUGACGAGAAAUAAUAAAGCGGGACUUCUGUUUCGCUAUUAUAAUGAGGAAUAACCAAAGGUCAUUCCGAUUAGCAACUGAUGGGAAAGUCUGGUGCCAGCAGCCGCGGUAAUACCAGCGUCAGUA